UAUAAUGGGUCAUCGACUUGGUCUCACGAGCAAGCUUAAGCCGUUAGGUGUAGGCGCAGCGAAAGCGAGUCUUAAUAGGGCGUUGAGUUCGUGGGAUCAGACCCGAAACCGAGUGAUCUAGGCAUGACCAGGAUGAAGGUAAGGUAACACUUACUGGAGGUCCGAACCCACACCUGUUGAAAAAGGUCGGGAUGAGUUGUGCCUAGGGGUGAAAGGCCAAUCAAACUCGGAGAUAGCUGGUUCUCUGCGAAAUCUAUUUAGGUAGAGCGUCAUCCGAAUACCCUCGGGGGUAGAGCACUGGAUGGGUAAUGGGGCCCCACAGGCUUACUGAUCCUAACCAAACUCCGAAUACCGAGGAGUACUAGAUGGCAGACACACGGCGAAUGCUAACGUCCGUCGUGAAGAGGGAAACAACCCUGACCUCCAGCUAAGGCCCCUAAUUCAUGGCUAAGUGGGAAAGCAGGUGAGACGACCAAAACAACCAGGAGGUUGGCUUAGAAGCAGCCAUCCUUUAAAGAUAGCGUAACAGCUCACUGGUCUAAAUAAGUUGUCUUGCGGCGAAGAUGUAACGGGGCUCAAGCCAUGAGCCGAAGCUGAGGAUGCACUAGUUGCAUGGUAGCAGAGCGUAGUGUGACAUAAUUCCAUGUCUCCUUAACCCUUCGGGGUAUUGGAGACGCGGAGUUUUCUGUGAAGCCGGCGCGUGAGCGAUCCGGUGGAGAGAUCACUAGUGAGAAUGAUGACAUGAGUAGCGACAAAGAGUGUGAGAGACACUCUCGCCGAAAGUCCAAGGGUUCCUGCUUAAAGCUAAUCUGAGCAGGGUAAGCCGACCCCUAAGGCGAGGCCGAAAGGCGUAGUCGAUGGGAACCAGGUUAAUAUUCCUGGGCCAGAUGGAAGUGACGGAUUUCGAGGGUAGUUCAUCCUUAUUGGAUUGAAUGGGCUGCUUAGAAGUCCCUGGAAAUAGCUCCAUCGCUAGAUCGUACCCUAAACCGACACAGGUGGACUGGUAGAGAAUACCAAGGCGCUUGAGAGAACUAUGUUGAAGGAACUCGGCAAAAUACCUCCGUAAGUUCGCGAGAAGGAGGCCCGGUUCCUAGGCAACUAGGGGCUGGGGGCACAAACCAGGGGGUGGCGACUGUUUAUUAAAAACACAGGGCUCUGCGAAGUCGCAAGACGACGUAUAGGGUCUGACGCCUGCCCGGUGCCUGAAGGUUAAAAGGAGGGGUGAGAGCUCUGAAUUGAAGCCCAGGUAAACGGCGGCCGUAACUAUAACGGUCCUAAGGUAGCGAAAUUCCUUGUCGGGUAAGUUCCGACCUGCACGAAUGGCGUAACGACUUCCCCGCUGUCUCCAACAUAGACUCAGCGAAAUUGAAUUACCUGUCAAGAUGCAGGUUUCCCGCGGUUAGACGGAAAGACCCCGUGCACCUUUACUACAACUUCACACUGGCAUUAGGCCGAACAUGUGCAGGAUAGGUGGUGGGCUUUGAAGCGUGGACGCCAGUCUGCGUGGAGCCUCCCUUGAGAUACCACCCUUGUUCUGCUUGAUGUCUAACCGCGGUCCGUUAUCCGGAUCCGGGACCCUGUGUGGUGGGUAGUUUGACUGGGGCGGUCGCCUCCUAAAUCGUAACGGAGGCGCGCGAAGGUUGGCUCAGAGCGGUCGGAAAUCGCUCGUUGAGUGCAAUGGCAGAAGCCAGCCUGACUGCAAGACUGACAAGUCGAGCAGAGUCGAAAGACGGCCAUAGUGAUCCGGUGGUCCCAAGUGGGAGGGCCAUCGCUCAACGGAUAAAAGGUACGCCGGGGAUAACAGGCUGAUACUGCCCAAGAGUCCAUAUCGACGGCAGUGUUUGGCACCUCGAUGUCGGCUCAUCUCAUCCUGGGGCUGGAGCAGGUCCCAAGGGUACGGCUGUUCGCCGUUUAAAGAGGUACGUGAGCUGGGUUUAGAACGUCGUGAGACAGUUCGGUCCCUAUCUUCCGUGGGUGUAGGAUACUUGAGAGGAGUUGCCCCUAGUACGAGAGGACCGGGGUGAACGAUCCACUGGUGGACCUGUUGUUGCGCCAGCAGCAGUGCAGGGUAGCUAUGAUCGGACAGGAUAACCGCUGAAGGCAUCUAAGCGGGAAGCCCCCCUCAAAACAAGGUAUCCCUG
The sequence is a ribosomal RNA, 2141 nucleotides long. It matches the Rfam family "Bacterial large subunit ribosomal RNA", at positions 611 to 2817 of the family's 2925-position model. The record is from Rfam.